This 713-nucleotide ribosomal RNA is filed under the name Cryobacterium sp. N4_94_1. RNAcentral's name for it is "bacterial SSU rRNA". It matches the Rfam family "Bacterial small subunit ribosomal RNA", at positions 53 to 768 of the family's 1533-position model. The record is from RNAcentral. Lineage: Bacteria; Bacillati; Actinomycetota; Actinomycetes; Micrococcales; Microbacteriaceae.
CCAUGCAGUCGACGGUGAAGAGGAGCUUGCUCCUUGGAUCAGUGGCGAACGGGUGAGUAACACGUGAGCAAUCUGCCCUUGACUCUGGGAUAACUGCGGGAAACUGUAGCUAAUACCGGAUAUUACCUUGGAAGGCAUCUUCUGGGGUGGAAAGAAUUUUGGUCAAGGAUGAGCUCGCGGCCUAUCAGCUAGUUGGUGAGGUAAUGGCUCACCAAGGCGACGACGGGUAGCCGGCCUGAGAGGGUGACCGGCCACACUGGGACUGAGACACGGCCCAGACUCCUACGGGAGGCAGCAGUGGGGAAUAUUGCACAAUGGGCGCAAGCCUGAUGCAGCAACGCCGCGUGAGGGACGACGGCCUUCGGGUUGUAAACCUCUUUUAGUAGGGAAGAAGCGACUGGGUUUUCCUGGGAGUGACGGUACCUGCAGAAAAAGCACCGGCUAACUACGUGCCAGCAGCCGCGGUAAUACGUAGGGUGCAAGCGUUGUCCGGAAUUAUUGGGCGUAAAGAGCUCGUAGGCGGUUUGUCGCGUCUGCUGUGAAAACCCGAGGCUCAACCUCGGGCCUGCAGUGGGUACGGGCAGACUAGAGUGCGGUAGGGGAGAUUGGAAUUCCUGGUGUAGCGGUGGAAUGCGCAGAUAUCAGGAGGAACACCAAUGGCGAAGGCAGAUCUCUGGGCCGUAACUGACGCUGAGGAGCGAAAGCAUGGGGAG